Molecule: ribosomal RNA, 586 nt
Filed under: uncultured bacterium
Lineage: Bacteria
Description: bacterial SSU rRNA
Rfam family: Bacterial small subunit ribosomal RNA
Source: RNAcentral
CGCAAUCUACCCAUAACUGAUGAAUAGCCCUCCGAAAGGAGGAUUAAUACAUCGUAACCUACUGAAGUGGCAUCACUAUAGUAGUAUAGCUCCGGCGGUUUUGGAUGAGCGUGCGGCCCAUUAGGUAGUUGGUUGAGGUAACGGCUCACCAAGCCUGCGAUGGGUAACUGGUGUGAGAGCACGACCAGUCACACGGGCACUGAGACACGGGCUCGACUCCUACGGGAGGCAGCAGUAAGGAAUAUUGGUCAAUGGACGCAAGUCUGAACCAGCCAUGCCGCGUGAAGGAUGAAGGCCCUCUGGGUUGUAAACUUCUUUUAUAUGGGACGAAAUGCAGUUAUUCUUAAUUGUUUGACGGUACCAUAGGAAUAAGCACCGGCUAACUCCGUGCCAGCAGCCGCGGUAAUACGGAGGGUGCAAGCGUUAUCCGGAUUCACUGGGUUUAAAGGGUGCGUAGGUGGGCCUGUAAGUCAGUGGUGAAAUCUCCGUGCUUAACACGGAAACUGCCAUUGAUACUAUAGGUCUUGAAUUAUCUGGAGGUCAGCGGAAUAUGUCAUGUAGCGGUGAAAUGCUUAGAUAUGACAUA